GGAAUUUAGCUCAGUGGUAGAGCGCUUGCCUAGGAAGCGCAAGGCCCUGGGUUCGGUUCCCAGCUCCG
Rattus norvegicus (Norway rat) is the source of this 68-nucleotide non-coding RNA. Lineage: Eukaryota; Metazoa; Chordata; Mammalia; Rodentia; Muridae. The record is from Rfam.